AGAUACCAGCUGGCUGCAACUGUUUAUUAAAAACACAGCACUGUGCAAACACGAAAGUGGACGUAUACGGUGUGACGCCUGCCCGGUGCCGGAAGGUUAAUUGAUGGGGUUAGCGCAAGCGAAGCUCUUGAUCGAAGCCCCGGUAAACGGCGGCCGUAACUAUAACGGUCCUAAGGUAGCGAAAUUCCUUGUCGGGUAAGUUCCGACCUGCACGAAUGGCGUAAUGAUGGCCAGGCUGUCUCCACCCGAGACUCAGUGAAAUUGAACUCGCUGUGAAGAUGCAGUGUACCCGCGGCAAGACGGAAAGACCCCGUGAACCUUUACUAUAGCUUGACACUGAACAUUGAGCCUUGAUGUGUAGGAUAGGUGGGAGGCUUAGAAGUGUGGACGCCAGUCUGCAUGGAGCCGACCUUGAAAUACCACCCUUUAAUGUUUGAUGUUCUAACGUUGACCCGUAAUCCGGGUUGCGGACAGUGUCUGGUGGGUAGUUUGACUGGGGCGGUCUCCUCCUAAAGAGUAACGGAGGAGCACGAAGGUUGGCUAAUCCUGGUCGGACAUCAGGAGGUUAGUGCAAUGGCAUAAGCCAGCUUGACUGCGAGCGUGACGGCGCGAGCAGGUGCGAAAGCAGGUCAUAGUGAUCCGGUGGUUCUGAAUGGAAGGGCCAUCGCUCAACGGAUAAAAGGUACUCCGGGGAUAACAGGCUGAUACCGCCCAAGAGUUCAUAUCGACGGCGGUGUUUGGCACCUCGAUGUCGGCUCAUCACAUCCUGGGGCUGAAGUAGGUCCCAAGGGUAUGGCUGUUCGCCAUUUAAAGUGGUACGCGAGCUGGGUUUAGAACGUCGUGAGACAGUUCGGUCCCUAUCUGCCGUGGGCGCUGGAGAACUGAGGGGGGCUGCUCCUAGUACGAGAGGACCGGAGUGGACGCAUCACUGGUGUUCGGGUUGUCAUGCCAAUGGCACUGCCCGGUAGCUAAAUGCGGAAGAGAUAAGUGCUGAAAGCAUCUAAGCACGAAACUUGCCCCGAGAUGAGUUCUCCCUGACCCUUUAAGAGUCCUGAAGGAACGUUGAAGACGACGACGUUGAUAGGCCGGGUGUGUAAGCGCAGCGAUGCGUUGAGCUAACCGGUACUAAUGAACCGUGAGGCUUAACCU
This 1149-nucleotide ribosomal RNA is filed under the name Escherichia coli 2-474-04_S1_C2. RNAcentral's name for it is "bacterial LSU rRNA". It matches the Rfam family "Bacterial large subunit ribosomal RNA", at positions 1781 to 2925 of the family's 2925-position model. The record is from RNAcentral. Lineage: Bacteria; Pseudomonadati; Pseudomonadota; Gammaproteobacteria; Enterobacterales; Enterobacteriaceae.